GUGGGGAAUUUUGCGCAAUGGGCGAAAGCCUGACGCAGCGACGCCGCGUGGAGGAUGAAGGCCCUUGGGUCGUAAACUCCUGUCGGGUGGGAAGAACGCUCCAGAGUCAAUAGCUCUGGAGACUGACUGUACCACCGGAGGAAGCCCCGGCUAACUCCGUGCCAGCAGCCGCGGUAAUACGGAGGGGGCAAGCGUUGUUCGGAAUUAUUGGGCGUAAAGGGCGCGUAGGCGGCCUGUCAAGUCGGACGUGAAAUCCCUCGGCUCAACCGAGGAAUUGCGUUCGAUACUGAUGGGCUAGAGUCCGGGAGGGGAUGGUGGAAUUCCCAGUGUAGCGGUGAAAUGCGUAGAUAUUGGGAAGAACACCGGUGGCGAAGGCGGCCAUCUGGACCGGUACUGACGCUGAGGCGCGAAAGCUAGGGGAGCGAAUGGGAUUAGAUACCCUAGUAGUCC
This 450-nucleotide ribosomal RNA is filed under the name uncultured bacterium. Its description in RNAcentral is "bacterial SSU rRNA". It matches the Rfam family "Bacterial small subunit ribosomal RNA", at positions 354 to 796 of the family's 1533-position model. The record is from RNAcentral.